Brugia pahangi is the source of this 70-nucleotide non-coding RNA. The record is from the annotation of a GenBank genome assembly. NCBI's taxonomy places the organism in Eukaryota, Metazoa, Nematoda, Chromadorea, Rhabditida, Onchocercidae.
UUGUCCUGGCGAGAAUCGAUCUCUCAACCUUCUGAUUAAACGCCAGCUGCUCUACCGGCUGAGCUAUGCA